Molecule: ribosomal RNA, 462 nt
Filed under: uncultured bacterium
Lineage: Bacteria
Description: bacterial SSU rRNA
Rfam family: Bacterial small subunit ribosomal RNA
Source: RNAcentral
AUGAACGUUAGCGGCGCGCCUGAUGCAUGCAAGUCGAACGCCCAAGUCGUCCGCAAGGAUGACAAGGGAGUGGCGAACGGCUGAGUAACGCGUAAGUAACCUACCUCCAAGUGGGGAAUAACUUGCCGAAAGGCAGGCUAAUUCCGCAUGUGCUGAUAAGCGAAUAGUUUUUCAGUAAAGCUUUCGAGCGCUUAGAGAAGGGCUUGCGUCUGAUUAGCUAGUUGGUGGGGUAACGGCCUACCAAGGCGAUGAUCAGUAGCUGGUCUUAGAGGACGACCAGCCAGACAGGGACUGAGACACGGCCCUGACUCCUACGGGAGGCAGCAGCAAGGAAUUUUGCGCAAUGGGCGAAAGCCUGACGCAGCGACGCCGCGUGGGGGAUGAAGGCCCUCGGGUUGUAAACCCCUUUUCCCGAAGAAGAAUUAUGACGGUACUCGGGGAAUAAGUCUUGGCUAACUACGU